RNAcentral lists this transfer RNA (73 nucleotides) under Chloroflexus aurantiacus J-10-fl. It matches the Rfam family "tRNA". From Rfam's summary of the family: Transfer RNA (tRNA) molecules are approximately 80 nucleotides in length. The record is from Rfam by way of RNAcentral. Lineage: Bacteria; Bacillati; Chloroflexota; Chloroflexia; Chloroflexales; Chloroflexaceae.
GGGGCCAUAGCUCAGUUGGAAGAGCGCAACACUGGCAGUGUUGAGGUCAGGGGUUCGAAUCCCCUUGGCUCCA